Gasterosteus aculeatus (three-spined stickleback) is the source of this 45-nucleotide non-coding RNA. The record is from Rfam. Lineage: Eukaryota; Metazoa; Chordata; Actinopteri; Perciformes; Gasterosteidae.
ACAAAGGCUCUUUUAAGAGCCACCCACUCACAUGAAAAGAGCUGU